This 404-nucleotide ribosomal RNA is filed under the name uncultured bacterium. RNAcentral's name for it is "bacterial SSU rRNA". It matches the Rfam family "Bacterial small subunit ribosomal RNA", at positions 355 to 776 of the family's 1533-position model. The record is from RNAcentral.
UGGGGAAUAUUGGACAAUGGGCGAAAGCCUGAUCCAGCAAUGCCGCGUGAGUGAUGAAGGCCUUAGGGUUGUAAAGCUCUUUCGGCGGGGAAGAUGAUGACGGUACCCGCAGAAGAAGCCCCGGCUAACUUCGUGCCAGCAGCCGCGGUAAUACGAAGGGGGCUAGCGUUGUUCGGAAUUACUGGGCGUAAAGGGCGCGUAGGCGGCGCAUUAAGUCAGGUGUGAAAGCCCUGGGCUCAACCCAGGAAUUGCACUUGAUACUGAUGUGCUUGAAUCCGGAAGAGGAUGACGGAAUUCCCAGUGUAGAGGUGAAAUUCAUUGAUAUUGGGAAGAACACCAGUGGCGAAGGCGGUCAUCUGGUCCGGUAUUGACGCUGAGGCGCGAAAGCGUGGGGAGCAAACAGG